CGCUAUUGAAGUUUCAUACCGGAAGGAGAAGCACAUAUUACGCACUGCAUUGUUUGGUGAACGCACAGAUUCAGCUGUUUAUAUAUCAAUCAUUAUUGGCUCUAAGUCAGGGAAAGCUAAAUCUAAGUCUAGAUAUACAGAUGUUCACACAAUUUUAGAAUAAAUUGAUUGGGAAGGUGAGACAGAGAUUGUUGUAGGCCGAUUCAUUUAGCGAUUGUGGAGGAAUAUUUUUUGAACGAGAGAGGACAUCGUUUUGGACUGGACCUGAGCCCUAGGACCAUGCGUAAGGACUACCUGACAUGAUGACUCCUUGCGGUCCCCAGUCCACCUGGCCUUGCCGCUGUUUCAGUUUCAACUGUUCUGCCUGUGACUAUGGAACCCUAAACUGUUCAUUUUUACUCUUGAGGUGCUGUCCUGUUGUACCCUCUACAACCACUGUGAUCUCCACCCGGCACAGCCAGAAGAGGACUGGCCACCCCUCAUAACCUGGUUCCUCUCUUCCUAGGUUUUUGCCUUUCUAGGGAGUUUUACCUAGCCACCGUGCUUCUACACCUGCAUUGCUUGCUGUUUGGGGUUUUAGGCUGGGGCUAUAUAAAUUGAUUUGAUUUGAUAGAGGACUGAGGGUCUUCCAAAUAUUGAAAGUGUGUAAAUAGUUACCCAUGUUAUUUUGUAAAUGUAUAUAUCCCCCCCCCCCCCCAUUUUUUUCCCUCAAUUCUUGGGGGGGGGUUAGAAUACCAUUUUGGUAUUUUGUAUAUAGUUAUUUGUUUCAAAAUGUAUACCUUCACCAUUUUGGCCACUUGGGUACAUUUGGGCUACUUGUGUGGGACACCUGGGUGACUUCAUGAUAAAUGUCAUGUAGCACACUCAUUUUGGAAGUGAUCAUUCUGAAACUUUGCAUAAGUACUGAUGCCCUCUUAUAUUUUUCACUGAAAUUGUCCCCAUCAUCCUAUCUGAACGUUUGUUUUAUCUUGUUCAUUUUAAAGAUGAUGAUACAACAAUAAAAAUCGUAUGGUUUUCUUCAUUGUUUUAUCUAAA
This is a long non-coding RNA of Oncorhynchus nerka (sockeye salmon), 1035 nucleotides long. RefSeq lists it as uncharacterized. The transcript is spliced from 2 exons. Lineage: Eukaryota; Metazoa; Chordata; Actinopteri; Salmoniformes; Salmonidae. The record is from RefSeq and is a predicted model, not a curated record.